Molecule: ribosomal RNA, 434 nt
Filed under: uncultured Lactonifactor sp.
Lineage: Bacteria; Bacillati; Bacillota; Clostridia; Eubacteriales; Clostridiaceae
Description: partial 16S ribosomal RNA
Rfam family: Bacterial small subunit ribosomal RNA
Source: RNAcentral
ACGGAAGGCAGCAGUGGGGAAUAUUGCACAAUGGGCGAAAGCCUGAUGCAGCGACGCCGCGUGAAGGAUGAAGUAUUUCGGUAUGUAAACUUCUAUCAGCAGGGAAGAAAAUGACGGUACCUGACUAAGAAGCUCCGGCUAAAUACGUGCCAGCAGCCGCGGUAAUACGUAUGGAGCAAGCGUUAUCCGGAUUUACUGGGUGUAAAGGGAGCGUAGACGGUUUGCCAAGUCUGAUGUGAAAGGUGGGGGCUCAACCCCCAAACUGCAUUGGAAACUGGUAGACUAGAGUGUCGGAGAGGUAAGUGGAAUUCCUAGUGUAGCGGUGAAAUGCGUAGAUAUUAGGAGGAACACCAGUGGCGAAGGCGGCUUACUGGACGAUAACUGACGUUGAGGCUCGAAAGCGUGGGGAGCAAACAGGAUUAGAUACCCUGGUA